This 948-nucleotide ribosomal RNA is filed under the name Triticum aestivum (bread wheat). RNAcentral's name for it is "partial small subunit ribosomal RNA". The record is from RNAcentral. Lineage: Eukaryota; Viridiplantae; Streptophyta; Magnoliopsida; Poales; Poaceae.
AUGACGUUUGGCCGGCGCUUGAUGUCUUUCUUAGAUGCCUGCCCCAAUACAUUCAGAUGGCUUAACAGCAUCAUCCUGCGUAAUCUUCAAUUUGGUGAAGCAGACAUGCCAACCAUAUUGAACACAUGCGAGAAGCUGCAGGCUCUGACCCUGCACUCGUGUCAGGUGAGCCAGCUAGAUUCUGUACUGAAGAUGGAUGCACCUAGCUCCCAGCUAAUUGCACUAAAUUUUAUAAAAUGCUACUUUGAACAUGUUGAGUUGGUCUGUCUCCCUCAGUUGGCUAGUCUGGUCUAUGAUACCUGGUUGUCUGUUGACCCUCCAGUGCGAUUUGGCUAUGUCCCACGGCUCCAUUACAUAAGAGUUGCCUCCGCUCUAUUGUUUUGGCAGACACCAUUCACAUUGAGUGGGUGUUUAUCUAACGCCAGGAACCUUACAAUUCUUCAUUUGGAUUUCCAUGAUGAAAUGGUUUGGUUUCAACCUGAACAUCCUAAAAAGCUUGUUCCUGUAUUCAGUAAUUUAAAAGUUGUAUAUCUGUAUAAUAUUUUUGCUGACUGUGACCUUAAGUGGACUUUAUUAUUUCUUGAAGCCGCGCCUUCCCUCGAUAGCUUUUAUGUCAAGAUAUCACGUCAUAUGUGUGGACGAUACAAGCAUGCAUGUAUUGAUAAUGCUAAAAAGACUAACGUGCUGUGGGAACCAUCAGAUUUCAAGCAUUACAAUUUAAAUCUAUUCGACAUUAAAGGUUUUGAGAAGGAAGAGAAGCUGAUAAAUUAUGUAAAGUUUGUAAUGGAGCGAGCUGUGGCUUUGAGGAAAAUUCAUCUGCAUGAUAAGGAGAAUUGUAAACAGUGUGGCUGUAUAAAUAAGCAGGCUCCAUCACCAAUCAGUUCCAAGUUUCCAAAUAACGAGGGAGAGAAUAAUUUAAUACGAAGGCUGCUCGCCAAUGGAUCUUCA